RNAcentral lists this ribosomal RNA (494 nucleotides) under uncultured bacterium. Its description in RNAcentral is "partial 16S ribosomal RNA". It matches the Rfam family "Bacterial small subunit ribosomal RNA", at positions 30 to 507 of the family's 1533-position model. The record is from RNAcentral.
AUUGAACGCUGGCGGCAUGCUUUUCACAUGCAAGUCGAACGGCAGCGGGGAGGAGCUUGCUUCUCUGCCGGCGAGUGGCGAACGGGUGAGUAAUACAUCGGAACGUGUCGAGAAGAGGGGGAUAACCACCCGAAAGGGUGGCUAAUACCGCAUAAAUUCUGAGGAAGAAAGCUGGGGGCCUGGGAAUAGGCCUAGCGCUUUUUGAGCGGCCGAUGUCGGAUUAGCUAGUUGGUGAGGUAAAGGCUCACCAAGGCGAAGAUCUGUAGCGGGUCUGAGAGGAUGAUCCGCCACACUGGGACUGAGACACGGCCCAGACUCCUACGGGAGGCAGCAGUGGGGAAUUUUGGACAAUGGGGGCAACCCUGAUCCAGCCAUGCCGCGUGUAUGAAGAAGGCCUUAGGGUUGUAAAGUACUUUUGUUAGGGAAGAAAAGUCAGCUGUGAAUAAUGGCUGAUACUGACGGUACCUAAAGAAUAAGCACCGGCUAACUACGUG